Molecule: ribosomal RNA, 497 nt
Filed under: uncultured bacterium
Lineage: Bacteria
Description: partial 16S ribosomal RNA
Rfam family: Bacterial small subunit ribosomal RNA
Source: RNAcentral
GAUGAACGCUGGCGGCGUGCCUAAUACAUGCAAGUCGAGCGAACAGACGAGGAGCUUGCUCCUCUGACGUUAGCGGCGGACGGGUGAGUAACACGUGGAUAACCUACCUAUAAGACUGGGAUAACUUCGGGAAACCGGAGCUAAUACCGGAUAAUAUAUUGAACCGCAUGGUUCAAUAGUGAAAGACGGUUUUGCUGUCACUUAUAGAUGGAUCCGCGCCGCAUUAGCUAGUUGGUAAGGUAACGGCUUGCCAAGGCAACGAUGCGUAGCCGACCUGAGAGGGUGAUCGGCCACACUGGAACUGAGACACGGUCCAGACUCCUACGGGAGGCAGCAGUAGGGAAUCUUCCGCAAUGGGCGAUAGCCUGACGGAGCAACGCCGCGUGAGUGAUGAAGGUCUUCGGAUCGUAAAACUCUGUUAUUAGGGAAGAACAAAUGUGUAAGUAACUAUGCACGUCUUGACGGUACCUAAUCAGAAAGCCACGGCUAACUACGUG